Molecule: ribosomal RNA, 265 nt
Filed under: uncultured bacterium
Lineage: Bacteria
Description: partial 16S ribosomal RNA
Rfam family: Bacterial small subunit ribosomal RNA
Source: RNAcentral
CCGGCGACCGGCGGACGGGUGCGUAACGCGUAUGUAACCUACCUUUGACAGGGGGAUAACAUCGAGAAAUUGGUACUAAUACCCCAUAACAUCACAGGAGGCAUCUUCGGUGGUUGAAAACUCAGGUGGUCAGAGAUGGACAUGCGUUGUAUUAGCUAGUUGGUGAGGUAACGGCUCACCAAGGCGACGAUACAUAGGGGGACUGAGAGGUCAACCCCCCACAUUGGUACUGAGACACGGACCAAACUCCUACGGAAGGCAGCAG